Teleopsis dalmanni is the source of this 986-nucleotide long non-coding RNA. RefSeq lists it as uncharacterized. The transcript has 4 exons. NCBI's taxonomy places the organism in Eukaryota, Metazoa, Arthropoda, Insecta, Diptera, Diopsidae. The record is from RefSeq and is a predicted model, not a curated record.
AAAAUUUUAAAGAUUUUUCUACAGGCUUGGGAUAAUUUUGAUAAAUUUAUUGCCAUAUAAAUAGUGUUUAAAGACCUAAGUGUUAUAAAAUUUAUAACUAAACGCAAGAAAAAUAAAGAUAGUAAAGAAAUAAUAUAUAUUAUAUAGGUUAUUAUAAGUCACAUUGGGUUAAUAGAAAAAAUAAAUCUGAAUUAAUAAUUUGGUUACUCUAGUUUUUUUAAUGUAGACAGAGAAAUAACAUAAUAAAUUCGAAUAUCUGCGUUAAGGACCAUCCCUUAGAGCGUUUUUGGAACUUGAUAAUAAAAAUAUAAAUUUAAUCAGUAUAUAUAAUGCAGUGCUGAUGUUUUGAAUGCUUACAAAAUAUUUUUAGUGAUGUGUUUCUUAAAAAAAAAAUAUUCUCAAUUGCUACAUUUUUUACCACUUAAAACUGAAUAAUAUAUUAUGAAGUCAUUUUAAAUAAUCUACAUAUAUUUCCUUUAAAAUAUAUAAUUAAAAAAACAUAAAAUAUAUAAUAUACAUACAUGUAUAUAGCAAAUCGACUUAUUGAAAGAGAACUUGCAAACGCUUAAGAGCCAACUUCAACAAGCGACUCUUCCAGAUAGAUAUCUAUAGUAGUAAAGAUGAUAAGAGCAACUAUAUCGAACCUUCAGCUAACUGUGUUUGCUUUGCACUUUGAGCCAGAUUUAUUACUUGUCUCACUGCUAUUGGGGUUUGCGCCAAGUUCCCAUUCUCGAAGUUGUUAGAUAUUAGUUCCACAUUUGUUUUUCGCACUACCAACCGUAUGCGUUACAUAUUCCUACUGAUUUUUAUACAAACAUGUAUACAUAGAUACAAAAUAUGUAUUUUAAAAAUAUGCAGGUUUCAACCAGUCGAAUGGACUGAACAGUUUCAGGCUGUGAUGAAGGCUUCCUUUCACUUCCAAUCCAACGCUUCCAUAUCACAAUAAAUAUCAAGAGUUAAUUUCAACAAAUAUGCAAUAAACCUUC